Caenorhabditis elegans is the source of this 300-nucleotide non-coding RNA. The record is from Ensembl. NCBI's taxonomy places the organism in Eukaryota, Metazoa, Nematoda, Chromadorea, Rhabditida, Rhabditidae.
ACCGGGCGUCGUGGCGGGCGUCUGUAAGCCAGCUUCUUGGCGGUAGAUAAGUGUGGAUGGAGUGAAGGGAGGAGCCCUUUGGGUGUUGCUGGCAACGGCGACCGAGCGUCCGUGCCAAGCGCUGCGUCGCUAGGGGUCAUCUGGCGGAAGGCGGGCGGUCCCGGGCGCAUAAGGAGCGGUAUACGGCUCAGGGCCGAAAGGCAGCAGGCAAAAGCCUCCGCGCGGUGCAGUGGCCGGAUAGCGCUUGCGAGUUGUCGCUCACCCACUGCCUCUCUGAUACCUUUAGACCACUUAUCAAUU